This 253-nucleotide ribosomal RNA is filed under the name uncultured bacterium. RNAcentral's name for it is "partial 16S ribosomal RNA". It matches the Rfam family "Bacterial small subunit ribosomal RNA", at positions 524 to 776 of the family's 1533-position model. The record is from RNAcentral.
GACGAACGGUCCAAACGUUAUUCGGAAUUACUGGGCUUAAAGGGUGCGUAGGCGGCGCGGUAAGUUGGGUGUGAAAUCCCUCGGCUCAACCGAGGAAUUGCGCUCGAUACUGCCGUGCUCGAGGGAGACAGAGGUGAGCGGAACUUAGGGUGGAGCGGUGAAAUGCGUUGAUAUCCUAAGGAACACCAGUGGCGAAAGCGGCUCACUGGGUCUCUUCUGACGCUGAGGCACGAAAGCUAGGGGAGCGAACGGG